This 253-nucleotide ribosomal RNA is filed under the name uncultured bacterium. RNAcentral describes it as "partial 16S ribosomal RNA". It matches the Rfam family "Bacterial small subunit ribosomal RNA", at positions 524 to 776 of the family's 1533-position model. The record is from RNAcentral.
UACAGAGGUCCCAAGCGUUGUUCGGAUUCACUGGGCUUAAAGGGCGCGUAGGCGGCUUCGCAAGUCCGGGGUGAAAGCCUCCAGCUCAACUGGAGAAGUGCCUUGGAUACUGCGGGGCUCGGGGGAGGUAGGGGUGCGUGGAACUUCCGGUGGAGCGGUGAAAUGCGUUGAUAUCGGAAGGAACGCCGGUGGCGAAAGCGACGCACUGGACCUCUUCUGACGCUGAGGCGCGAAAGCCAGGGGAGCAAACGGG